Molecule: ribosomal RNA, 253 nt
Filed under: uncultured bacterium
Lineage: Bacteria
Description: partial 16S ribosomal RNA
Rfam family: Bacterial small subunit ribosomal RNA
Source: RNAcentral
UACGAAGGGGGCGAGCGUUGUUCGGAUUUACUGGGCGUAAAGGGCGCGUAGGCGGCGCGAGAAGUCGAGUGUGAAAGCCCCGGGCUCAACCUGGGAAUUGCGCUCGAUACUCUUGUGCUUGAGUUCGGGAGAGGAGCGUGGAAUUCCCAGUGUAGAGGUGAAAUUCGUAGAUAUUGGGAAGAACACCGGUGGCGAAGGCGGCGCUCUGGACCGAGACUGACGCUGAGGCGCGAAAGCAUGGGGAGCGAACAGG